This 433-nucleotide ribosomal RNA is filed under the name uncultured bacterium. RNAcentral's name for it is "partial 16S ribosomal RNA". It matches the Rfam family "Bacterial small subunit ribosomal RNA", at positions 29 to 507 of the family's 1533-position model. The record is from RNAcentral.
AACGAACGCUGGCGGCAUGCCUAACACAUGCAAGUCGAACGAGACCUUCGGGUCUAGUGGCGCACGGGUGCGUAACGCGUGGGAACCUGCCCUUAGGUUCGGAAUAACUCCCCGAAAGGGGUGCUAAUACCGGAUAAUGUCUUCGGACCAAAGAUUUAUCGCCUUUGGAUGGGCCCGCGUUGGAUUAGCUAGUUGGUAGGGUAAAAGCCUACCAAGGCGACGAUCCAUAGCUGGUCUGAGAGGAUGAUCAGCCACACUGGGACUGAGACACGGCCCAGACUCUUACGGGAAGCAGCAGUGGGGAAUAUUGGACAAUGGGCGAAAGCCUGAUCCAGCAAUGCCGCGUGAGUGAUGAAGGCCUUAGGGUUGUAAAGCUCUUUUACCCGGGAUGAUAAUGACAGUACCGGGAGAAUAAGCUCCGGCUAACUCCGUG